CCUACGGGAGGCAGCAGUGAGGAAUAUUGGUCAAUGGACGCAAGUCUGAACCAGCCAUGCCGCGUGCAGGAAGACGGCCCUAUGAGUUGUAAACUGCUUUUGUACGAGGGUAAACGCAGAUACGCGUACCUGUCUGAAAGUAUCGUACGAAUAAGGAUCGGCUAACUCCGUGCCAGCAGCCGCGGUAAUACGGAGGAUUCAAGCGUUAUCCGGAUUUAUUGGGUUUAAAGGGUGCGUAGGCGGUCGGAUAAGUUAGAGGUGAAAUCCCGAGGCUCAACUUCGGAAUUGCCUCUGAUACUGUUAGGCUAGAGAGUAGUUGCGGUAGGCGGAAUGUAUGGUGUAGCGGUGAAAUGCUUAGAGAUCAUGCAGAACACCGAUUGCGAAGGCAGCUUACCAAGCUACGUCUGACGUUGAGGCACGAAAGCGUGGGGAGCAAACAGGAUUAGAUACCCUUGUAGUC
Molecule: ribosomal RNA, 460 nt
Filed under: uncultured bacterium
Lineage: Bacteria
Description: partial 16S ribosomal RNA
Rfam family: Bacterial small subunit ribosomal RNA
Source: RNAcentral